This 434-nucleotide unclassified non-coding RNA is filed under the name soil metagenome. Its description in RNAcentral is "partial contains 5.8S ribosomal RNA, internal transcribed spacer 2, and large subunit ribosomal RNA". The stretch from base 1 to 117 matches the Rfam family "5.8S ribosomal RNA", at positions 35 to 154 of the family's 154-position model. The record is from RNAcentral.
GAUGAAGAACGUAGCAAACUGCGAUAAGUAGUGUGAAUUGCAUUUAGUGAAUCAUCGAAUCUUUGAACGCACCUUGCACUCACUGGUAUUCCGGUGAGUACGCCUGUUUCAGUAUCAUUGAAAACACACAAUCAAAACUUUUUUGAUUGGCCUUGGGCUUAUUACAGUUUGGUACAUUCAUUUGGAUCAAGCGGCCUGGAAUAGAUUGUCUGGCUAAUUGCAUCGUUGAUGAUCGCUAUUAGACUUUGGCUUUUUUAAAUGAACUGGAGGUUGAUUAACCAGUUUUAGCUUUAGUCGAAUGGUCAUUGUAAAUCGAUCUUGGUCCAGCGGUUGAGGAUAACCGGAAAACAAAACCAUAACAAUCACUUUUUUCGUAUCGAUCUGAAAUCAGGUGGGACUACCCGCUGAACUUAAGCAUAUCAAUAAGCGGAGGA